GAACGCAUAUUGCGCUCUUUGGUAUUCCGAAGAGCAUGCUUGUUUGAGUAUCAGUAAACACCUCAAAACUCUUGAUCUUUUUCAAGCGUUUUGGACUUGAGCAAACCCAACGCCUUUUCUUUUAAGAUCUGUUGCGGCGGGUUGCUUGAAAUGCAGGUGCAGCUGGACAAUCUCCUGAGCUAAAAGCAUAUUUUUUUAGUCCCGUCAAACGGAUUAUUACUUUUUGCUGCAGCUAACAUAAAGGGAGUUUUGACCAUUAUGGCUGACUGAUGCAGGAUUUCACAGAGAAAAGGCCGGCAACGGUUUUGUCUCUGUCAAACUCGAUCUCAAAUCAAGUAAGACUACCCGCUGAACUUAAG
This 359-nucleotide unclassified non-coding RNA is filed under the name Linnemannia exigua. RNAcentral's name for it is "sequence contains 5.8S rRNA gene". The stretch from base 1 to 53 matches the Rfam family "5.8S ribosomal RNA", at positions 102 to 154 of the family's 154-position model. Lineage: Eukaryota; Fungi; Mortierellomycota; Mortierellomycetes; Mortierellales; Mortierellaceae. The record is from RNAcentral.